RNAcentral lists this ribosomal RNA (2894 nucleotides) under Klebsiella pneumoniae. Its description in RNAcentral is "bacterial LSU rRNA". It matches the Rfam family "Bacterial large subunit ribosomal RNA". The record is from RNAcentral. Lineage: Bacteria; Pseudomonadati; Pseudomonadota; Gammaproteobacteria; Enterobacterales; Enterobacteriaceae.
UUAAGCGACUAAGCGUACACGGUGGAUGCCCUGGCAGUCAGAGGCGAUGAAGGACGUGCUAAUCUGCGAAAAGCGUCGGUAAGGUGAUAUGAACCGUUAUAGCCGGCGAUGUCCGAAUGGGGAAACCCAGUGUGAUUCGUCACACUAUCGUUAACUGAAUACAUAGGUUAACGAGGCGAACCGGGGGAACUGAAACAUCUAAGUACCCCGAGGAAAAGAAAUCAACCGAGAUUCCCCCAGUAGCGGCGAGCGAACGGGGAGCAGCCCAGAGUCUGAAUCAGCUUGUGUAUUAGUGGAACGGUCUGGAAAGUCCGACGGUACAGGGUGAUAGUCCCGUACACCAAAAUGCACAGGCUGUGAACUCGAAGAGUAGGGCGGGACACGUGGUAUCCUGUCUGAAUAUGGGGGGACCAUCCUCCAAGGCUAAAUACUCCUGACUGACCGAUAGUAAACCAGUACCGUGAGGGAAAGGCGAAAAGAACCCCGGCGAGGGGAGUGAAAAAGAACCUGAAACCGUGUACGUACAAGCAGUGGGAGCACCUUCGGGUGUGACUGCGUACCUUUUGUAUAAUGGGUCAGCGACUUAUAUUCUGUAGCAAGGUUAACCGUAUAGGGGAGCCGCAGGGAAACCGAGUCUUAACUGGGCGUUAAGUUGCAGGGUAUAGACCCGAAACCCGGUGAUCUAGCCAUGGGCAGGUUGAAGGUUGGGUAACACUAACUGGAGGACCGAACCGACUAAUGUUGAAAAAUUAGCGGAUGACUUGUGGCUGGGGGUGAAAGGCCAAUCAAACCGGGAGAUAGCUGGUUCUCCCCGAAAGCUAUUUAGGUAGCGCCUCGUGAAUUCAUCUUCGGGGGUAGAGCACUGUUUCGGCUAGGGGGUCAUCCCGACUUACCAACCCGAUGCAAACUACGAAUACCGAAGAAUGUUAUCACGGGAGACACACGGCGGGUGCUAACGUCCGUCGUGAAGAGGGAAACAACCCAGACCGCCAGCUAAGGUCCCAAAGUCAUGGUUAAGUGGGAAACGAUGUGGGAAGGCACAGACAGCCAGGAUGUUGGCUUAGAAGCAGCCAUCAUUUAAAGAAAGCGUAAUAGCUCACUGGUCGAGUCGGCCUGCGCGGAAGAUGUAACGGGGCUAAACCAUGCACCGAAGCUGCGGCAGCGACACUAUGUGUUGUUGGGUAGGGGAGCGUUCUGUAAGCCUGCGAAGGUGACCUGUGAGGGUUGCUGGAGGUAUCAGAAGUGCGAAUGCUGACAUAAGUAACGAUAAAGCGGGUGAAAAGCCCGCUCGCCGGAAGACCAAGGGUUCCUGUCCAACGUUAAUCGGGGCAGGGUGAGUCGACCCCUAAGGCGAGGCCGAAAGGCGUAGUCGAUGGGAAACAGGUUAAUAUUCCUGUACUUGGUGUUACUGCGAAGGGGGGACGGAGAAGGCUAUGUUAGCCGGGCGACGGUUGUCCCGGUUUAAGCAUGUAGGCUGGUUGUCCAGGCAAAUCCGGAUAAUCAAGGCUGAGGUGUGAUGACGAGGUACUACGGUGCUGAAGUAACAAAUGCCCUGCUUCCAGGAAAAGCCUCUAAGCAUCAGGUAACAUCAAAUCGUACCCCAAACCGACACAGGUGGUCAGGUAGAGAAUACCAAGGCGCUUGAGAGAACUCGGGUGAAGGAACUAGGCAAAAUGGUGCCGUAACUUCGGGAGAAGGCACGCUGGUGUAGGUGAAGUCCCUGCGGAUGGAGCUGAGACCAGUCGAAGAUACCAGCUGGCUGCAACUGUUUAUUAAAAACACAGCACUGUGCAAACACGAAAGUGGACGUAUACGGUGUGACGCCUGCCCGGUGCCGGAAGGUUAAUUGAUGGGGUUAUCCGUAAGGAGAAGCUCUUGAUCGAAGCCCCGGUAAACGGCGGCCGUAACUAUAACGGUCCUAAGGUAGCGAAAUUCCUUGUCGGGUAAGUUCCGACCUGCACGAAUGGCGUAAUGAUGGCGCUGUCUCCACCCGAGACUCAGUGAAAUUGAACUCGCUGUGAAGAUGCAGUGUACCCGCGGCAAGACGGAAAGACCCCGUGAACCUUUACUAUAGCUUGACACUGAACAUUGAGCCUUGAUGUGUAGGAUAGGUGGGAGGCUUUGAAGCGUGGACGCCAGUCUGCGUGGAGCCAACCUUGAAAUACCACCCUUUAAUGUUUGAUGUUCUAACGUUGGCCCCUGACCGGGGUUGCGGACAGUGUCUGGUGGGUAGUUUGACUGGGGCGGUCUCCUCCCAAAGCGUAACGGAGGAGCACGAAGGUUAGCUAAUCCUGGUCGGACAUCAGGAGGUUAGUGCAAUGGCAUAAGCUAGCUUGACUGCGAGCGUGACGGCGCGAGCAGGUGCGAAAGCAGGUCAUAGUGAUCCGGUGGUUCUGAAUGGAAGGGCCAUCGCUCAACGGAUAAAAGGUACUCCGGGGAUAACAGGCUGAUACCGCCCAAGAGUUCAUAUCGACGGCGGUGUUUGGCACCUCGAUGUCGGCUCAUCACAUCCUGGGGCUGAAGUAGGUCCCAAGGGUAUGGCUGUUCGCCAUUUAAAGUGGUACGCGAGCUGGGUUUAGAACGUCGUGAGACAGUUCGGUCCCUAUCUGCCGUGGGCGCUGGAGAAUUGAGGGGGGCUGCUCCUAGUACGAGAGGACCGGAGUGGACGCAUCACUGGUGUUCGGGUUGUCAUGCCAAUGGCACUGCCCGGUAGCUAAAUGCGGAAGAGAUAAGUGCUGAAAGCAUCUAAGCACGAAACUUGCCCCGAGAUGAGUUCUCCCUGAGACUUUAAGUCUCCUGAAGGAACGUUGAAGACGACGACGUUGAUAGGCCGGGUGUGUAAGCGCAGCGAUGCGUUGAGCUAACCGGUACUAAUGAACCGUGAGGCUUAACCU